CAGUAGCCACGGGAAUACGUAGGUGGCAAGCGUUGUCCGGAAUUAUUGGGCGUAAAGGGCUCGCAGGCGGUUUCUUAAGUCUGAUGUGAAAGCCCCCGGCUCAACCGGGGAGGGUCAUUGGAAACUGGGAAACUUGAGUGCAGAAGAGGAGAGUGGAAUUCCACGUGUAGCGGUAAAAUGCGUAGAGAUGUGGAGGAACACCAGUGGCGAAGGCGACUCUCUGGUCUGUAACUGACGCUGAGGAGCGAAAGCGUGGGGAGCGAACAGGAUUAGAUACCCCCGUAGUCCCUGUCUCUUAUAC
Molecule: ribosomal RNA, 301 nt
Filed under: uncultured bacterium
Lineage: Bacteria
Description: partial 16S ribosomal RNA
Rfam family: Bacterial small subunit ribosomal RNA
Source: RNAcentral